This 329-nucleotide ribosomal RNA is filed under the name uncultured eukaryote. Its description in RNAcentral is "partial 18S ribosomal RNA". It matches the Rfam family "Eukaryotic small subunit ribosomal RNA", at positions 1470 to 1796 of the family's 1831-position model. The record is from RNAcentral.
CCCUUAGAUGUUCUGGGCCGCACGCGCGCUACACUGACGAUGGCAACGAGUUUUUCCUUCGCCGAAAGGUGUGGGUAAUCUUUUGAAACAUCGUCGUGCUGGGGAUAGAUCAUUGCAAUUUUUGAUCUUGAACGAGGAAUUCCUAGUAAGCGCGAGUCAUCAGCUCGCGUUGAUUACGUCCCUGCCCUUUGUACACACCGCCCGUCGCUACUACCGAUUGAAUGGUUUAGUGAGGACUCCUGAUUGGCGCCGCCUCCCCGGCAACGGAGCAGCGGACUGCCGAAAAGUUGUUCAAACUUGAUCAUUUAGAGGAAGUAAAAGUCGUAACA